This is a long non-coding RNA of Lutra lutra (Eurasian river otter), 441 nucleotides long. RefSeq lists it as uncharacterized. NCBI's taxonomy places the organism in Eukaryota, Metazoa, Chordata, Mammalia, Carnivora, Mustelidae. The transcript is spliced from 3 exons. The record is from RefSeq and is a predicted model, not a curated record.
CCUAACCGCACAGAUACCUUUCUGAGGACACAACUCAACCCACAACAAGGAUAAAACAUGCAGGCCCCGGAGUGACCCAGCCCAAGAGGGCGGGAGAAAACUGCAGGUGGGAUGACACCCACCUUGUUCCCCGGUGUCUAGAAAAGGAUUCGCUCGGAGGAUGUACUCAAGAAAUAUUCUUUUGAUUAAAAAAAGACCACAGCGAGAAGAGAGACUCCUGACAGUGACAUCUCAGAUCUUGUCCCUGCAGAGACGCAGACGACCCCCAAGCCCCCACCCCCAAAAGCCCUUCACGCAACCAGUGUGUCAGGAGGACCGGGCUCCAGUCCCACCACUGCUGCUGAGCAGCGGUGAAGCUUGGGUGAGGUACCUCCCCUGCCCAGGCCUCACUGGUCCUCCCUGGAAGGCGGAGAGAGCAGUGUUCACUUCACAAAGCUAACA